GUGCUCACUUUGGCCGCACAUAUACUAAAAUUGGAAUGACACAAAGAAAUUUAGCAUGGCCCCUGAGCAAGAAGAGAAUUCUGUAUAUACAUACAUAUUUUUU
Octodon degus (degu) is the source of this 103-nucleotide small nuclear RNA. The record is from Ensembl. Lineage: Eukaryota; Metazoa; Chordata; Mammalia; Rodentia; Octodontidae.